Long non-coding RNA from Nasonia vitripennis (jewel wasp), 1529 nucleotides. RefSeq lists it as uncharacterized. The transcript has 5 exons. The record is from RefSeq and is a predicted model, not a curated record. NCBI's taxonomy places the organism in Eukaryota, Metazoa, Arthropoda, Insecta, Hymenoptera, Pteromalidae.
GCAUUGAGAUCCAUGAGCUUUAGCAAGGCGCUCUUGUACUGGGUGAAGUUUGUUUCUUGUACUACCGAUGCCCUCAACAGUAGUGACAGCCAUGCCAUGCAUUGCACACACUGGUGUUAAACAUGCAUUCGCUGCUAAAUGACUGCAUAAGUUUUAUGUAAUAAAUUAAUGUCCAUUCUGGCUCAAUGUUGCAGUCUUUAAUCUAAAACAUUCUCUCCUGUGAUAUAACGUACAUGUGUAGUUCAAAGAUAAAAGAAGAAUUAUAUUGAGAGAGUGCGAGAGAGAUCGCUGAUAAUUCAAGAAAUGAAGGACGCCGUUGCGUUCGUGCGAGAGAGAAAGCGACGACUGGAGCGAACCAUGAGUAUGCACCUAGAGUGCAUAAAGUAAUGAGCGAAUCAGGUUCGUGAGAACGUAAAAAACUAGUUGUCGCAUUCGACUCACGAACACUUCUCUGCAGUAAGUUGAUCAACACAAGCCAUACGAAUGCGGGCUGCAGUAGCUGGCGAAUCAAGUCUAAAAUACCCGUGGAUUCCCAUGUCUUUUCGAGCAGCUCUAAUAGCUUCCUUGAUGCCGAAGAAUGCAGAAGAUGCCAAAAAUAGAGGGGGUUCACCAGUAGCCUGUAAAGCGCACAUAAAAUUGUGAAAUAUAUACAUCGAAUGAUACUUUUUACGUAGUAUAUAAAUCAGUGUUCAUAUUUAUUACUUUUGAAGAAAAUACUGCUCGUGGAUUGGAUGAAGCCUUAAGUAAUGAUACAUUAAACUCUCUCGGUAUAUUCGUAAAACUCGGUAUUUUAUAUACUCCUGGUCCGCGACUAAAUACAACUCCUGUUGGAGAAUACACCAUUUCUUCCAUUGUGAAUAAUCCAUAACCUUGCAUGAAUCCACCUUCUACUUGGCCAAUAUCAAUAGCAGGAUUUAAACUUUCCCCAAGAUCCAUAACAACAUCACUCCGUAAAACCUACAAAUUCAAAAUUAUUAUACAAACAUUCAAUUUCCAUAAAAAUUGUUGUUUUCUCCUAAACGAACUAUUGUGAUACUGAAAUUUUCGAUUUCAAUAGUAGCAUGUUUAGUGAGUCCGGGCGGAGGCCCUUCAACGGCCCGAGAUAUCAACCCUAACCCGACCUCACUUAGCGGGUUCAUUUAUCGGGCGAUUUGGGUACCUUAGCACGUUUUCUCGUUAAUCUAACCUACAUAGGCUUGAAGGGGUCGGAAAAAUACGCAAAAAUAGGUAGGUCAGAUGUUUGGGCAGUUCCUGCUAAGUGACGAAGUAUCGGCUCGAACCGAAGGCUAUAAAUCGCGUAUUUCUUGGGGCUGACUUAUCGGGCUUUUUCGAUACCCUAGCACGUUUUCUCGUUGAUCUUACCUACGUAUGCUUGAAGAGGACGGAAAAAUACGCAAAAAUAGGUAGGACUACACUUCCGCCAGCUUCUGCCAAAGACCGAAAAAUCACUUUAUCUGUGAUAUUGAUACCUGCCUGCCGGUACAAGGUUUCCCCUUUUAUUUGUAUUUGAAAUAUUUCGUUUACCUCGU